CCUACGGGAGGCAGCAGUGAGGAAUAUUGGUCAAUGGGCGAGAGCCUGAACCAGCCAAGUCGCGUGAAGGAUGACGGCCCUACGGGUUGUAAACCUCUUUUGUCGGGGAGCAAAUGGCGCCACGUGUGGCCUCAGCGAGAGUACCCGGAGAAAAAGCAUCGGCUAACUCCGUGCCAGCAGCCGCGGUAAUACGGAGGAUGCGAGCGUUAUCCGGAUUUAUUGGGUUUAAAGGGUGUGUAGGCGGAAUGUUAAGUCAGCGGUAAAAAUGAGGGGCUCAACCCCGUCCUGCCAUUGAAACUGGUGUUCUUGAGUGGGAGAGAAGUAUGCGGAAUGCGUGGUGUAGCGGUGAAAUGCAUAGAUAUCACGCAGAACCCCGAUUGCGAAGGCAGCAUGCCGGCGUCCAACUGACGCUGAAGCACGAAAGCGUGGGGAUCGAACAGGAUUAGAUACCCCGGUAGUC
Molecule: ribosomal RNA, 460 nt
Filed under: uncultured bacterium
Lineage: Bacteria
Description: partial 16S ribosomal RNA
Rfam family: Bacterial small subunit ribosomal RNA
Source: RNAcentral